GCCUCCGUAGCUCAGACGGUUAGAGCAGUCGCCUCUUAAGCGAAUGGUCACUGGUUCGAUUCCAGUCGGGGGCACCA
Molecule: transfer RNA, 77 nt
Filed under: Candidatus Kerfeldbacteria bacterium
Lineage: Bacteria; Candidatus Kerfeldiibacteriota
Description: tRNA-Lys
Rfam family: tRNA
About the family: Transfer RNA (tRNA) molecules are approximately 80 nucleotides in length.
Source: RNAcentral